GUCUUUUAGAAAAUAAUUUAAAGUCUAACCUGCCCACUGAAUAAUUUUGAAGGGCCGCAGUAUUUUGACUGUGCAAAGGUAGCAUAAUCAUUAGUCUUUUAAUUGAAGGCUUGUAUGAAUGGUUGGAUGAAAUAUUAACUGUCUCAAAUUAAUAAAAUAGAAUUUAAUUUUUAAGUUAAAAAGCUUAGAUAAGAUUAGAGGACGAGAAGACCCUAUAGAUCUUUAUAUUUUUAUUUUUAAUUUUUAUUUAGAGUAAAAAAUAUUUUUAGUAAUAAUAAUAUUUUAUUGGGGUGAUAAUUAAAUUUAAUUAACUUUAUUUAAUAAAAACAUUAAUUUAUGAAUAAUUGAUCCAUUAUUAGUGAUUAUAAGAUUAAGUUACCUUAGGGAUAACAGCGUAAUUUUUUUAGAGAGUUCUUAUCGAUAAAAAAGUUUGCGACCUCGAUGUUGAAUUAAAGAUUAAUUUAGGUGCAGUAGUUUAAAUGUUUGGUCUGUUCGACCAUUAAAUC
This 506-nucleotide ribosomal RNA is filed under the name Neoneuromus sp. 2 XL-2014. RNAcentral describes it as "partial 16S ribosomal RNA". It matches the Rfam family "Bacterial large subunit ribosomal RNA", at positions 1825 to 2594 of the family's 2925-position model. Lineage: Eukaryota; Metazoa; Arthropoda; Insecta; Megaloptera; Corydalidae. The record is from RNAcentral.